RNAcentral lists this ribosomal RNA (703 nucleotides) under Bacillus altitudinis. Its description in RNAcentral is "bacterial SSU rRNA". It matches the Rfam family "Bacterial small subunit ribosomal RNA", at positions 673 to 1376 of the family's 1533-position model. The record is from RNAcentral. Lineage: Bacteria; Bacillati; Bacillota; Bacilli; Caryophanales; Bacillaceae.
GUGUAGCGGUGAAAUGCGUAGAGAUGUGGAGGAACACCAGUGGCGAAGGCGACUCUCUGGUCUGUAACUGACGCUGAGGCGCGAAAGCGUGGGGAGCGAACAGGAUUAGAUACCCUGGUAGUCCACGCCGUAAACGAUGAGUGCUAAGUGUUAGAGGGUUUCCGCCCUUUAGUGCUGCAGCAAACGCAUUAAGCACUCCGCCUGGGGAGUACGGUCGCAAGACUGAAACUCAAAGGAAUUGACGGGGGCCCGCACAAGCGGUGGAGCAUGUGGUUUAAUUCGAAGCAACGCGAAGAACCUUACCAGGUCUUGACAUCCUCUGACAACCCUAGAGAUAGGGCUUCCCCUUCGGGGGCAGAGUGACAGGUGGUGCAUGGUUGUCGUCAGCUCGUGUCGUGAGAUGUUGGGUUAAGUCCCGCAACGAGCGCAACCCUUGAUCUUAGUUGCCAGCAUUCAGUUGGGCACUCUAAGGUGACUGCCGGUGACAAACCGGAGGAAGGUGGGGAUGACGUCAAAUCAUCAUGCCCCUUAUGACCUGGGCUACACACGUGCUACAAUGGGCAGAACAAAGGGCAGCGAAGCCGCGAGGCUAAGCCAAUCCCACAAAUCUGUUCUCAGUUCGGAUCGCAGUCUGCAACUCGACUGCGUGAAGCUGGAAUCGCUAGUAAUCGCGGAUCAGCAUGCCGCGGUGAAUACGUUCCCG